RNAcentral lists this long non-coding RNA (199 nucleotides) under Gossypium raimondii (Peruvian cotton). RNAcentral describes it as "long non-coding RNA (GRAI_LNC005691)". Lineage: Eukaryota; Viridiplantae; Streptophyta; Magnoliopsida; Malvales; Malvaceae. The record is from RNAcentral.
GUGAAAAGGGGUGAGUGUCAUGGUUAAGCUUGAGAGUUUUAGACUUUUUGGAAAUAAAAUGAUGAUUUUUUAAAGCAACCCAAAAAAGGGGUGAUACUAGUGGUCACCGGAAAAUAUGCCAAAAACUAGAUGCUUCCACUUGCUUGAAUAGUGUUUUUUUUUCCAAAUAGGUAGUGGUUGAAAGGGAGUUUGCAACACC